UAUUGGACAAUGGGCGAAAGCCUGAUCCAGCCAUGCCGCGUGUGUGAAGAAGGUCUUCGGAUUGUAAAGCACUUUAAGUUGGGAGGAAGGGCAUUAACCUAAUACGUUAGUGUUUUGACGUUACCGACAGAAUAAGCACCGGCUAACUCUGUGCCAGCAGCCGCGGUAAUACAGAGGGUGCAAGCGUUAAUCGGAAUUACUGGGCGUAAAGCGCGCGUAGGUGGUUUGUUAAGUUGGAUGUGAAAUCCCCGGGCUCAACCUGGAACUGCAUUCAAAACUACUACAGAGAUGGAGAGGGUGGUGGAAUUUCCUGUGAGCGGUAAAUGCGAGUUGAAGAACACCAGUGGCGAGGCGCCACCUGGCAAAUCUGCUCUGAUGAGAUCAA
This 385-nucleotide ribosomal RNA is filed under the name uncultured bacterium. Its description in RNAcentral is "bacterial SSU rRNA". It matches the Rfam family "Bacterial small subunit ribosomal RNA", at positions 362 to 758 of the family's 1533-position model. The record is from RNAcentral.